AGAGUUUGAUCAUAGCUCAGGAUGAACGCUAGCUACAGGCUUAACACAUGCAAGUCGAGGGGAAACGACAUCGAAAGCUUGCUUUUGAUGGGCGUCGACCGGCGCACGGGUGAGUAACGCGUAUCCAACCUGCCCACCACUUGGGGACAACCUUGCGAAAGUAAGACUAAUACCCAAUGACGUCUCUAGAAGACAUCUGAAAGAGAUUAAAGAUUUAUCGGUGAUGGAUGGGGAUGCGUCUGAUUAGCUUGUUGGCGGGGUAACGGCCACCAAGGCGACGAUCAGUAGGGGUUCUGGAGAGGAAGGUCCCCCACAUUGGAACUGAGACACGGUCCAAACUCCUACGGGAGGCA
Molecule: ribosomal RNA, 353 nt
Filed under: uncultured bacterium
Lineage: Bacteria
Description: bacterial SSU rRNA
Rfam family: Bacterial small subunit ribosomal RNA
Source: RNAcentral